Molecule: ribosomal RNA, 460 nt
Filed under: uncultured bacterium
Lineage: Bacteria
Description: partial 16S ribosomal RNA
Rfam family: Bacterial small subunit ribosomal RNA
Source: RNAcentral
CCUACGGGGGGCAGCAGUGAGGAAUAUUGGUCAAUGGGCGGACGCCUGAACCAGCCAAGUCGCGUGAGGGAAGACUGCCCUAUGGGUUGUAAACCUCUUUUGUCAGGGAGCAAGUGGCGCUACGUGUAGCGUUAUCGAGAGGACCUGAAGAAAAAGCAGCGGCCAACCCCGUGCCAGCAGCCGCGGUAAUACGGAGGAUGGGAGCGUUAUCCGGAUUGAUUGGGUUUAACGGGGGCGUAGGCGGAAUGCCAAGUCAGCGGUAAAAUCGCGGGGCUCAACCUCGCUCCGCCGUUGAAACUGGCGUUCUUGAGUGGGCGAGAAGUAUGCGGAAUGCGUGGUGUAGCGGUGAAAUGCAUAGAUAUCACGCAGAACUCCGAUUGCGAAGGCAGCAUACCGGCGCCCAACUGACGCUGACGCACGAAAGCGUGGGUAUCGAACAGGAUUAGAUACCCCUGUAGUC